AUUUUAUUUAUCAUUCUUUAAAUCAAAUACCUUUUGAAACAAGUUAUCCCAAAAAUUUGUAUCAAGAGUACCAAUUUGAUUCAUAGCUUUCAUCAAUAGAAAAUGGAAGCACACUCUCUAAUUAGUUCCCGAUAAAUGUGUGAAUGUUUAAGGGAGAACACUAUGACAAAUGGUUCUUAGCAUUGGAAACCAAUGCACCAAAAGCGCAGAAGAUAGCUCAUCAUGAAUUGAACAAGAAAUAUGGGAAUGAAUUAUUCUUAAUCCAUCAAUGCGUGGAUUCAAAC
Molecule: long non-coding RNA, 284 nt
Filed under: Lathyrus oleraceus (garden pea)
Lineage: Eukaryota; Viridiplantae; Streptophyta; Magnoliopsida; Fabales; Fabaceae
Description: Pisum sativum (pea) long non-coding RNA (PSAT_LNC022637)
Source: RNAcentral